RNAcentral lists this ribosomal RNA (542 nucleotides) under uncultured bacterium. RNAcentral describes it as "bacterial SSU rRNA". It matches the Rfam family "Bacterial small subunit ribosomal RNA", at positions 932 to 1501 of the family's 1533-position model. The record is from RNAcentral.
GUGGAGCGUGUUGUUUAAUUCGAUGCAAAGCGAAGAACCUUACCCAGACUUGACAUCCUUGGAAGGACUACGAAAGUAGACUGUGCCCUUGGGAGCCAAGUGACAGGUGUUGCAUGGCCGUCGUCAGCUCGUGUCGUGAGAUGUUAGGUUAAGUCCUUUAACGAGCGCAACCCUUGUAGUUAGUUGUAUUUUUCUAACUAGACUGCCCUGGUAACAGGGAGGAAGGAGGGGAUGAUGUCAGGUCAGUAUUACCCUUAUGUCUGGGGCUACAAACACGCUACAAUGGCCGGUACAAAGGGAUGCCAACCCGCGAGGGGGAGCAAAUCCCAUCAAAGCCGGUCUCAGUUCGGAUAGCAGGCUGAAACUCGCCUGCUUGAAGCUGGAAUCGCUAGUAACGGUAAGUCAGCACAUUACCGUGAAUACGUUCCCGGGUCUUGUACACACCGCCCGUCAAACCAUGAAAGUCGCCAAUACCUGACGUCCUAGCUUGUCUAGGCCUAAGGUAGGGGAGAUGAUUGGGGUUAAGUCGUAACAAGGUAACC